CAAGUGACCAAGCUUGUCCUGCUACGACAACGUCCCGCUAAGUUGUCCAUUGGGCACCAUGGUGAGCGGUCCCUGGAGAGCUUCUGUCACUGGCAGAACGAGGAGUAUGGAGGAGCGCGAUACCUCGGCAAUAACCAGGUUCCCGGCGGGAAGGACGACCCGCCCCUGGUGGAUGCUGCCGUGUUUGUGACCAGGCUGUGGUCAAGCCGGACAGUGUAUUCUCCAAGACGUUCCCUGACAAACAGGUGGCUAGGUGGCUGCCAUGGAGGACGUGAGCAUGACAUGUCUAGCAGGAGCUGCUGAGCCAGAAGCGGUUGAAGCUGGGUUUUCUGCAGCUGUGUCUGGGACUUGGAAGGACCCCUGAGUGGACUGGGCCUGGGGUCACACGGAGCCCACACAGAAGCC
RNAcentral lists this long non-coding RNA (405 nucleotides) under Homo sapiens (human). Its description in RNAcentral is "non-protein coding lnc-CERS3-4:1". Lineage: Eukaryota; Metazoa; Chordata; Mammalia; Primates; Hominidae. The record is from RNAcentral.